RNAcentral lists this long non-coding RNA (2685 nucleotides) under Pan troglodytes (chimpanzee). Its description in RNAcentral is "lincRNA". Lineage: Eukaryota; Metazoa; Chordata; Mammalia; Primates; Hominidae. The record is from RNAcentral.
AGCUCCUGCCGCCGCCGCAGCCGCUGCCGCCGCAGCGAAGAGGCCAUGUUGUGUGGUGUGUGGGGCGGGGGGAGGAGGAGGAGGGAGUAAAGCCUAGAGAGGAGACGGGAGAGAGACACCACACACACGGCACAAGAUGGCCGGAGAGGCAGCAGCACCCCGAGCUGUCAGGCGUUCCGCCGCGGCCGCGAGGCCCGCCGGCCGGCGGGGAGCUACGCCCGGACGGCCAGCAGGCCCGCGGGAGUGGGGCUGCCGCGGCUGAGGCGAGGCGGGCCGCGCGCGUCGGCGUCACAGCCCGCGGCAGAGGCGCCCAGGGCGGCCGGGCCCACGACGCCGAAAGCGCCGCUGCGGUUGCCGCCUCGGAGGCUCCCCCGGGCCCCGGCGGCUGGACCCGGCGCGGGCGGGAGGCUCGGGCGGGCGGUCCGGCCCGGGACUCGGGUUUGGGCGACCAGGAGGUGCCGGUGGCCGCGCUCGGACCCGGUGACUUAAGAGAUUAAAAUUAAUUUGGUUGCUGAUGGUUCUGAACAAAUAAUGAGUUCUUUUAUUUGAGGUAUGCCAUUUUGAAGACUGAGACAUUGGAGUUUUAUCCUAGAGGAUAAAGGAAAUCUUUGGCAAAGUCAGUAUUUUAUAUAGCAAAAAUAUGAACCUCAAACUGAAUCCUCUAAAGGCCCCAUACAAUGAAGUAGACAUUGGUGGAAGCAUUUACACCCAGUCAGCUUGAAGAGUUUCAAAUGGACCCUACCACUGAGAAAUCAAGAUGGCAGUCUACUAUGGGGAAUUGAGGAAAAUGGAUUAAUACAAGAGUCCUGUGAUAAUAUACAACCAAGACAGGGUUCUUUUAACAUGGAUUCCAUGCAGUGAAUGAAGACAUAGGUUUCUUACCCAACACAAAUGGACAGUGGAUUUGACUUUCUAAAGACUUUUUUUUGUGGACAUUUUGACAUUUGGAGAAGAAAGAUGGCACACUAACCCAGAUAAUAGUUUUUAUGCCUGGAAUUUUUUGCAGUUUGAUUUGUAUGCGUAUGACCUCUUGAAAUGUUAAUUUUUAAUAAAAUUUGUAACACUUAAAAAUUUCUCAGUUUGGGUUUUUUUUUUUUAAGUGGAAGUUUAAUUAAAAUGUUUAGUUUUAUUUUAGUAAUACUUUGGCCUUUGUAGUUGCCGAGUGGUAAAGUGUACUGAAUAUGAAUAAAGCUGGUAAACUGGAAAUGGUGUAAUCGAAAACAUUUUACUUGGUUUAUGAAGAUUUACGUUUUUCACAAAGUUGUGCUCUUAGAUGGUCAUUUGGUUUAAAUACUGUUUUGUUUGUGCUUUCAUGAAACACCUUUCAAAACAACUCAAUGGGUAAUAAUAGAAUCUGAUUUUAAUCUGCCACAAGAUUUUAAUGAACUUGAAACAAACUGCUUGUUGCUCCAAAAUUCAGGAUGAGUGAUACACAUAUACUUCUGAAUUAUUUUGUGUUGACUGAAAUGGUUUCUUAAGCUUUUUAAUACUAUAAAUACAUCUUGCUAUAGAAUAUUCAUCUGAAUAUUUAAAUUAAUGUCUCCUAUUGUCUUACUAUUAGAGGAAGAAGUGUUGGAUUUAUGGGUUAGGGUCCUUGGAGUAUUCACAAUUUUUUAAAUUUGAAAUUAUGUGUGUAAUCCAUUUUAUAUAACUUUGAAGUAGGAUUAAUAUCUUGUAUCGUCUUUAUUUUGUACAAUUGGGGAUUUAGAAUAAAUGAAUUGCACCCUGCCAUAGAUUACUUACGUUUGAUUUUUAAAUGCCAGGUUUUCAUUUAUUACUAAUCAACUGAUACCAGUUUUGGUAACUAUUACAAAGGUGGUAGGCAUUAUUUUGGUAGACAAAAUGAGUUCUUGAUUCUGUUUUCCCAUUUUACAUGAGAAGAAUAAAUAGUUCAGGUUAAAUUGUUUUGUGUUAAUCAUACUGUUUGUGAUUCAUGUCAAAUACUGCAGCAUACACAUCCAUGGUUAAUACACGAGCACCAUUUGUUACUGACUGAUGUGAGGUGGUUGGUCUUUGUUAAAUUCAAAAAUGGAAUUUUGGAUAUUGAUCUUGCUACGAAAUUUAUCUUUGUGUGUAGAGUAUGGAAUUGAAACAGUUUGGAUUAUGGAUUUUACCUAGAUUGGACAUUGUUGCUUUUGUUUGGUGUAAAUCUAAAGUGGAUUUCUUCAGUGAGGGAGGGACAUGGUUCUGGCAGAUGAUAUUGAAUAAGGAAAGUUGAUUGGAUUUUUUUGGGUGUGUGAAUAUGCUUGUCUGAAUGGAGUGCUUGGUAGGAUAUUGUUUCUGGAAUUAGUAAUUUGUUUCUGUGGAUCUCAUGGUUUUGAUAUUUAGGAGAAUUUGCUUUGUGACAUUACUUUGAUAAUUUCCAAUCACGUAUGUCCUAUUGUUAAUAACAUUGUUGAAAUGGGUGUAUACUUAUUUGAUUUGAAAUAUAAGGGAAGUGUUGGGAUAUGUGUUUUCUGUUGGAUUUGGACGUGGAGUUUCUUGGGUUACUGAUUUAAAGGUGAUCGUGUUUGGACCAUACUCUUGAAUUUUUGCCUGAAUCAGUAUGGGAAGUAAAUAUAUUGUGAUUAUGAGAAGUUUCUUUGGGGGGAGGAGUGUAAUAUUUUCAAGGUUAUAUAAUGGGUUAAAGAAUUUUGUGAAAGAACAAAGAAAAAUGGAUAUUCUUGAAUAAAAAUUGGUUGCAUU